GCGGCGGACGGGUGAGUAAUGCCUAGGAAUCUGCCUGGUAGUGGGGGACAACGUUUCGAAAGGAACGCUAAUACCGCAUACGUCCUACGGGAGAAAGUGGGGGAUCUUCGGACCUCACGCUAUCAGAUGAGCCUAGGUCGGAUUAGCUAGUUGGUGAGGUAAAGGCUCACCAAGGCGACGAUCCGUAACUGGUCUGAGAGGAUGAUCAGUCACACUGGAACUGAGACACGGUCCAGACUCCUACGGGAGGCAGCAGUGGGGAAUAUUGGACAAUGGGCGAAAGCCUGAUCCAGCCAUGCCGCGUGUGUGAAGAAGGUCUUCGGAUUGUAAAGCACUUUAAGUUGGGAGGAAGGGCAGUAAGUUAAUACCUUGCUGUUUUGACGUUACCAACAGAAUAAGCACCGGCUAACUUCGUGCCAGCAGCCGCGGUAAUACGAAGGGUGCAAGCGUUAAUCGGAAUUACUGGGCGUAAAGCGCGCGUAGGUGGUUCGUUAAGUUGGAUGUGAAAGCCCCGGGCUCAACCUGGGAACUGCAUCCAAAACUGGCGAGCUAGAGUAUGGCAGAGGGUGGUGGAAUUUCCUGUGUAGCGGUGAAAUGCGUAGAUAUAGGAAGGAACACCAGUGGCGAAGGCGACCACCUGGGCUAAUACUGA
RNAcentral lists this ribosomal RNA (652 nucleotides) under uncultured Pseudomonas sp. Its description in RNAcentral is "bacterial SSU rRNA". It matches the Rfam family "Bacterial small subunit ribosomal RNA", at positions 95 to 743 of the family's 1533-position model. The record is from RNAcentral. Lineage: Bacteria; Pseudomonadati; Pseudomonadota; Gammaproteobacteria; Pseudomonadales; Pseudomonadaceae.